This 118-nucleotide ribosomal RNA is filed under the name Anolis carolinensis (green anole). Lineage: Eukaryota; Metazoa; Chordata; Lepidosauria; Squamata; Anolidae. The record is from RNAcentral.
CACUGUAACCUAAUAUCCUAAAGCCACCAGAGCCUAUUUGAUCUUGGAAGCUAAGCCGAGUCAGCCUUGUUUAGUACUUGGAUAGGAGGCUGCCAAGGAAUACCAGGAGCUAUAGGAU